Molecule: small RNA, 164 nt
Filed under: bovine gut metagenome
Description: Bacteroidales-1 6S-Bacteroidales RNA suggested
Rfam family: Bacteroidales-1 6S-Bacteroidales RNA suggested
Source: RNAcentral
GGAUCGAUCGGGAUACUCAUCAAAUUACAUCAGAAAACCGAGAAUGUUUCGCAUGUCAAUGGCGGGCCACGCCCGAAAGGGUAACGAAAGUCGGUGGAUUACAAAGAUAUGCGAACCCUCAAAUCUUACUUACUCGGAGUUUCAUCACAUCUCCUCCCGGCUUU